CCUACGGGUGGCUGCAGUGGGGAAUAUUGCACGAUGGGCGCAAGCCUGAUGCAGCCAUGCCGCGUGUGUGAAGAAGGCCUUCGGGUUGUAAAGCACUUUCAGCGGGGAGGAAGGCGGUGAGGUUAAUAACCUCAUCGAUUGACGUUACCCGCAGAAGAAGCACCGGCUAACUCCGUGCCAGCAGCCGCGGUAAUACGGAGGGUGCAAGCGUUAAUCGGAAUUACUGGGCGUAAAGCGCACGCAGGCGGUCUGUCAAGUCGGAUGUGAAAUCCCCGGGCUCAACCUGGGAACUGCAUUCGAAACUGGCAGGCUAGAGUCUUGUAGAGGGGGGUAGAAUUCCAGGUGUAGCGGUGAAAUGCGUAGAGAUCUGGAGGAAUACCGGUGGCGAAGGCGGCCCCCUGGACAAAGACUGACGCUCAGGUGCGAAAGCGUGGGGAGCAAACAGGAUUAGAUACCCCGGUAGUC
Molecule: ribosomal RNA, 465 nt
Filed under: uncultured Klebsiella sp.
Lineage: Bacteria; Pseudomonadati; Pseudomonadota; Gammaproteobacteria; Enterobacterales; Enterobacteriaceae
Description: bacterial SSU rRNA
Rfam family: Bacterial small subunit ribosomal RNA
Source: RNAcentral